RNAcentral lists this ribosomal RNA (968 nucleotides) under Vibrio metschnikovii. RNAcentral's name for it is "bacterial SSU rRNA". It matches the Rfam family "Bacterial small subunit ribosomal RNA", at positions 78 to 1038 of the family's 1533-position model. Lineage: Bacteria; Pseudomonadati; Pseudomonadota; Gammaproteobacteria; Vibrionales; Vibrionaceae. The record is from RNAcentral.
GCUUGCUUUCUUUGCUGACGAGCGGCGGACGGGUGAGUAAUGCCUGGGAAAUUGCCCUGAUGUGGGGGAUAACCAUUGGAAACGAUGGCUAAUACCGCAUGAUGCCUACGGGCCAAAGAGGGGGACCUUCGGGCCUCUCGCGUCAGGAUAUGCCCAGGUGGGAUUAGCUAGUUGGUGAGGUAAUGGCUCACCAAGGCGACGAUCCCUAGCUGGUCUGAGAGGAUGAUCAGCCACACUGGAACUGAGACACGGUCCAGACUCCUACGGGAGGCAGCAGUGGGGAAUAUUGCACAAUGGGCGCAAGCCUGAUGCAGCCAUGCCGCGUGUAUGAAGAAGGCCUUCGGGUUGUAAAGUACUUUCAGUCGUGAGGAAGGGGGUAUCGUUAAUAGCGGUAUUCUUUGACGUUAGCGACAGAAGAAGCACCGGCUAACUCCGUGCCAGCAGCCGCGGUAAUACGGAGGGUGCGAGCGUUAAUCGGAAUUACUGGGCGUAAAGCGCAUGCAGGUGGUUUGUUAAGUCAGAUGUGAAAGCCCGGGGCUCAACCUCGGAGUUGCAUUUGAAACUGGCAGGCUAGAGUACUGUAGAGGGGGGUAGAAUUUCAGGUGUAGCGGUGAAAUGCGUAGAGAUCUGAAGGAAUACCGGUGGCGAAGGCGGCCCCCUGGACAGAUACUGACACUCAGAUGCGAAAGCGUGGGGAGCAAACAGGAUUAGAUACCCUGGUAGUCCACGCUGUAAACGAUGUCUACUUGGAGGUUGUGGCCUUGAGCCGUGGCUUUCGGAGCUAACGCGUUAAGUAGACCGCCUGGGGAGUACGGUCGCAAGAUUAAAACUCAAAUGAAUUGACGGGGGCCCGCACAAGCGGUGGAGCAUGUGGUUUAAUUCGAUGCAACGCGAAGAACCUUACCUACUCUUGACAUCUACAGGAUCCUGCGGAGACGCGGGAGUGCCUUCGGGAACUGUAAGACAGG